Molecule: unclassified non-coding RNA, 307 nt
Filed under: uncultured Rozellomycota
Lineage: Eukaryota; Fungi; Rozellomycota
Description: uncultured Cryptomycota sequence contains ITS1
Rfam family: 5.8S ribosomal RNA (bases 1-104)
Source: RNAcentral
AAUGUGCGAAAAGUAAUGCGAAUUGCAUACCUCUGCGAGUCAUCUAGUCUUUGAACGCAAAUGGCACUGUCUUGUCAAGAGACAGUAUGCCUGUUUGAGAACCGAAUACCUCUUCACCAUCCGGUGGAUGUGUCACUCGACUGUCGUCUGUGACUGAAUGAAUGAGUGCUACUCUGAAAUGUAGUGUGUUAGAGAACCGUGGUUCCACAUCACUAUUUUAAAGAGAUCAAUGGCAUGCAACUGUGUAUAGUAAUAUACAUACUUACAACACGGUCUCAAAUCAGGCAAGGCUACCCGCUGAACUUAA